Molecule: transfer RNA, 90 nt
Filed under: Oceanomicrobium pacificus
Lineage: Bacteria; Pseudomonadati; Pseudomonadota; Alphaproteobacteria; Rhodobacterales; Paracoccaceae
Description: Rhodobacteraceae bacterium KN286 tRNA-Ser
Rfam family: tRNA
About the family: Transfer RNA (tRNA) molecules are approximately 80 nucleotides in length. Their secondary structure includes four short double-helical elements and three loops (D, anti-codon, and T loops). Further hydrogen bonds mediate the characteristic L-shaped molecular structure. tRNAs have two regions of fundamental functional importance: the anti-codon, which is responsible for specific mRNA codon recognition, and the 3' end, to which the tRNAs corresponding amino acid is attached (by aminoacyl-tRNA synthetases). tRNAs cope with the degeneracy of the genetic code in two manners: having more than one tRNA (with a specific anti-codon) for a particular amino acid; and 'wobble' base-pairing, i.e. permitting non-standard base-pairing at the 3rd anti-codon position.
Source: RNAcentral
GGGCAGGUGGCAGAGUGGACGAAUGCGCCGGUCUCGAACACCGGUGAACGUGCAAGCGUUCCGUGGGUUCGAAUCCCACCCUGCCCGCCA